UACGGGGGGGAGCAAGCGUUGUUCGGAUUUACUGGGCGUAAAGGGCGCGUAGGCGGUCAGCACAAGUCAGUUGUGAAAUCUCCGGGCUUAACUCGGAAAGGUCAACUGAUACUGUGCGACUAGAGUGCAGAAGGGGCAACUGGAAUUCUCGGUGUAGCGGUGAAAUGCGUAGAUAUGCGGAGGAACACCGAUGGCGAAGGCAAUCCCCUGGGCCUGCACUGACGCUCAUGCACGAAAGCGUGGGGAGCAAACAGG
This 255-nucleotide ribosomal RNA is filed under the name uncultured bacterium. RNAcentral's name for it is "partial 16S ribosomal RNA". It matches the Rfam family "Bacterial small subunit ribosomal RNA", at positions 524 to 776 of the family's 1533-position model. The record is from RNAcentral.